RNAcentral lists this ribosomal RNA (406 nucleotides) under uncultured bacterium. Its description in RNAcentral is "partial 16S ribosomal RNA". It matches the Rfam family "Bacterial small subunit ribosomal RNA", at positions 30 to 526 of the family's 1533-position model. The record is from RNAcentral.
AUUGAACGCUGGCGGCAGGCCUAACACAUGCAAGUCGAACGCGUGGCGGCGGGGUGAGUUAUGUCUGGUAAACUCCCACAUGGAUGGGGAUAACUACUGGACACGGUAGCUAAUAGCGCAUACUCUCCGAUGCGCACAGAUGGGAUUAGCUUGUUGGUGGGGUAACGGCUCACCAAGGCGACGCUCCCUAGCUGGGCUGAGAGGCUGACCAGCCACACUGGAACUGAGACACGGUCCAGACUCCUACGGGAGGCAGCAGUGGGGAAUAUUGGACAAUGGGCGAAAGCCUGAUGCAGCCAUGCCGCGUGUGUGAAGAAGGUCUUCGGGUUGUAAAGCACUUUAAGUUGGGAGGCGUUACCAACAGAAUAAGCACCGGCUAACUUCGUGCCAGCAGCCGCGGUAAUUC